This is a long non-coding RNA of Lemur catta (Ring-tailed lemur), 252 nucleotides long. RefSeq lists it as uncharacterized. Lineage: Eukaryota; Metazoa; Chordata; Mammalia; Primates; Lemuridae. The transcript is spliced from 4 exons. The record is from RefSeq and is a predicted model, not a curated record.
UCUGGAAAAAAUGAAGAUGCAGAAUCACCUCAGGAUUUGGAGAGUGUCUCCACGAAUCUCCCACAGAAGUAUGGUGGUGACUUACGGUGGGCUGCAGUUCACAAACAAGAAUACACCAUAAAUGGACAAGUAGAAGCAGAAGAAGACCUAGAAGUGACAUCAGAGAAUGAGCAAAAGAGUCCUGAAGGAAGUGAAAAUAAGCAGACACCGGUUGAAGAAAAGGAGAAGCACAAAAGCAAUAAAAUGGCAGCA